Molecule: ribosomal RNA, 254 nt
Filed under: uncultured bacterium
Lineage: Bacteria
Description: partial 16S ribosomal RNA
Rfam family: Bacterial small subunit ribosomal RNA
Source: RNAcentral
UACGUAGGGUGCGAGCGUUGUCCGGAAUUAUUGGGCGUAAAGAGCUCGUAGGCGGUCUGUCGCGUCGGUCGUGAAAACUCGGGGCUUAACCCUGAGCUUGCGGUCGAUACGGGCAUGACUGGAGUUCGGCAGGGGAGACUGGAAUUCCUGGUGUAGCGGUGAAAUGCGCAGAUAUCAGGAGGAACACCGGUGGCGAAGGCGGGUCUCUGGGCCGAUACUGACGCUGAGGAGCGAAAGCGUGGGGAGCAAACAGG